GACGAACGCUGGCGGCGUGCUUAACACAUGCAAGUCGAACGGAAAGGCCCUGCUUUUGUGGGGUGCUCGAGUGGCGAACGGGUGAGUAACACGUGAGUAACCUGCCCUUGACUUUGGGAUAACUUCAGGAAACUGGGGCUAAUACCGGAUAGGAGCUCCUGCUGCAUGGUGGGGGUUGGAAAGUUUCGGCGGUUGGGGAUGGACUCGCGGCUUAUCAGCUUGUUGGUGGGGUAGUGGCUUACCAAGGCUUUGACGGGUAGCCGGCCUGAGAGGGGGACCGGCGGAAUGGGGGAGAAGGACGCGCCAAGACUGCUAGGGGGGGAAGGGGGGGAAAUUAUGGAACAGGGGGGGGGGGCUGGAGACGGCGGCGCCGGGGGGGGAAGGAGGGCCUUGGGGUGAAAAACCGUUUGCGCCGGUGACGAAGCGGGGGUGAGGGUAAGGAAAAAAGAGGAACGGGCAAACUCGGUG
Molecule: ribosomal RNA, 468 nt
Filed under: uncultured bacterium
Lineage: Bacteria
Description: partial 16S ribosomal RNA
Rfam family: Bacterial small subunit ribosomal RNA
Source: RNAcentral